Drosophila gunungcola (fruit fly) is the source of this 805-nucleotide long non-coding RNA. RefSeq lists it as uncharacterized. NCBI's taxonomy places the organism in Eukaryota, Metazoa, Arthropoda, Insecta, Diptera, Drosophilidae. The record is from RefSeq and is a predicted model, not a curated record. The transcript is spliced from 4 exons.
UCUUCUUAAAGCUUUAUUUCGUUUUCUCUCCUUCUCUCUCAUUUCGUCCUCUUUAUUCUCAUCCAUUGGAAAGCAAUUGCGGCGUCACCGCAUUAAAAAAUCUAUUUAAGUAAAUUUCGCCGCCGUUCGAUUUCUUGAAUGUGUAAAUAAUUAUUAAUUAAAAAGACCCGACACACAAACAAUUAUCGUCACGCGAUCACAGGACACCUUUGUGGACCACUGAGUUUUGGUUUCUGGUUUCUGGUCUAUAACAACACGUCGCGAAUUGUCGUGGUCGUGGUCCUUCGUCCUUCGGCUGACUGAGUUGGCUCAGUUGGCCAAAUCGGAUGGCUUCUGAGCUUUGGGGUUAAUUCACCAGCCGGCUGACAACAAACAGCAGCAGAGUUCAACGUGAGACUGAAUGCCGCACGGAAAAGCCUCGUGUGUUGGCCUCGUCGCCUUGGAAAAUCCUCGUCGGCGUGCUGUUGAUAUUUCUCUUUAGCCGGACCAAAAUCGCUUAUGGCCAUCGAAGCGGCCUUAAUUGUGGAAGAAAAUGGCAUCCUGACGGCUUGGAUUGACAAGGGAUACAAAAAGUCUUUUUAUCUGAGAGUUUUAAACUAGAACACGAAAACAUGGCACAUAAUUUUCGCAUACCUUAAAAACGCAUUAAACUGCAAUGGCGCCAAAAGAGAACAUAUAAACAUGAACAUAAACAUGGACAGGACAUGGACACAUACAUACACACGCGUACACACACACACACACAUACAUACAUGGACAGUAGGGGCAAUCUGGACCGGAAACGGAAGCGGAAUCCCCACCAUCC